This 589-nucleotide ribosomal RNA is filed under the name uncultured archaeon. RNAcentral describes it as "bacterial SSU rRNA". It matches the Rfam family "Archaeal small subunit ribosomal RNA", at positions 52 to 647 of the family's 1478-position model. The record is from RNAcentral.
UGCGAGUCUUUGCAGUAAUGCAAGGCAUACGGCUCAGUAACACGUAGUCAACUUACCCUAUGGACGAGGAUAAUCUCGGGAAACUGAGCAUAAUACUCGAUAGAUCAUAAUGCCUGGAAUGGUUUAUGGUUGAAAUGAUUCGUCGCCAUAGGAUGGGACUGCGGCCUAUCAGCUUGUUGGUGAGGUAAUGGCCCACCAAGGCGAUUACAGGUACGGGCUCUGAGAGGAGAAGCCCGGAGAUGGGUACUGAGACAAGGACCCAGGCCCUAUGGGGCGCAGCAGGCGAGAAAACUUUGCAAUGUGCGAAAGCACGACAAGGUUAAUCCGAGUGAUUUCUGCUAAAGAAAUCUUUUGCAAGUCAUAAAACCACUAGUGAAUAAGGGGUGGGCAAGUUCUGGUGUCAGCCGCCGCGGUAAAACCAGCACCUCAAGUGGUCAGGAGGAUUAUUGGGCCUAAAGCAUCCGUAGCCGGCUCUGUAAGUUUCCGGUUAAAUCCAUGUGCUCAACGCAUGGGCUGCCGAAAAUACUGCAUAGCUAGGGAGUGGGAGAGGUAGACGGUACUCGGUAGGAAGGGGUAAAAUCCUUUGAUC